AUGCUCUGUUUAUUAGGUGCCCAGCCCAGUGGUUCUGGAUCUGACCCUGAGCCCAGAGGGUUUUCUCCUCGGCUUUAUUAUUCAGUUCGCUGGAGAUUUAUUUGUUUAUUGUUAGUGCAUGGAAAGAUGGCGUCCCACAUUGUCGGAUACCCGCGCAUGGGCCCCAAGAGGGAGCUCAAGUUUGCCCUGGAGUCUUUCUGGGAUGGCAAGAGCAGCGCCGAGGAUUUGGAGAAGGUUGCCACCGACCUCAGGGCCAGCAUCUGGAAGCAGAUGGCUGAUGCUGGGAUCAAGUACAUCCCCAGCAACACCUUCUCCUACUAUGAUCAGGUUCUUGACACCACCGCCAUGCUCGGUGCCGUCCCAGACCGUUACUCAUGGACCGGUGGGGAGAUCAAUUUGAGCACCUACUUCUCGAUGGCUAGGGGUAACGCCACCGUCCCUGCUAUGGAGAUGACCAAGUGGUUCGACACCAACUACCACUUUAUCGUCCCUGAAUUGGCUCCUAGCACCAAGUUCUCCUACUCUUCUCACAAGGCUAUCAAUGAGUACAAGGAGGCUAAGGCGCUUGGCGUUGAUACCGUCCCAGUACUUGUCGGACCAGUCUCAUACUUGUUGCUCUCAAAGGCCGCCAAGGGUGUAGAGAAAUCAUUCUCUCCCCUUUCCCUUCUUAGCAGCAUCCUUCCCGUCUACAAGGAGGUUAUUGCUGAGUUGAAGGCAGCUGGCGCUUCAUGGAUUCAGUUUGAUGAGCCCACCCUUGUUAAGGACCUUGAAUCCCACCAAUUGUCUGCAUUCUCUGCAGCUUACGCAGAACUUGAGUCCGCACUUUCUGGAUUGAACGUUCUUGUUGAGACCUACUUCGCUGACGUUCCCGCAGACUCGUACAAGACUCUUACAUCAUUGAGCAGUGUGACUGCUUAUGGUUUUGACCUUGAACGUGGAACCAAGACUCUUGAGCUUGUCAAGAGUGGUUUCCCUGCUGGAAAGUACCUCUUUGCUGGUGUCGUAGAUGGACGCAACAUUUGGGCUGAUGACCUUGCUGCAUCUCUCGCCACUCUUCAGUCUCUUGAGGCUGUUGUUGGGAAGGACAAGCUUGUCGUAUCGACUUCCUGCUCACUCAUGCACACUGCUGUGGACCUUGUAAAUGAGACCAAGCUUGAUGAUGAGAUUAAGUCAUGGCUCGCAUUUGCCGCCCAAAAGGUCGUUGAGGUGAACGCCCUUGCCAAGGCAUUGGCUGGUCAAAAGGAUGAGGCUUACUUUGCAGCAAAUGCUGCUGCUCUGGCCUCAAGAAGGUCGUCACCACGUGUCACAAAUGAGGAGGUCCAGAAGGCUGCUACUGCCCUCAAGGGCUCUGAUCACCGCCGUGCUACCACCGUUAGCGCUAGGUUGGAUGCGCAGCAGAAGAAGCUCAACCUUCCGGUCCUUCCCACGACCACCAUUGGAUCAUUCCCACAGACCGUGGAGCUCAGGAGAGUCCGCCGUGAGUACAAGGCAAAGAAGAUCUCUGAGGAGGAGUACACCAAUGCCAUCAAGGAGGAAAUUAGCAAGGUUGUUAAGAUCCAAGAAGAGCUUGACAUUGAUGUGCUUGUGCACGGAGAGCCAGAGAGGAACGAUAUGGUUGAGUACUUCGGUGAGCAGCUCUCUGGUUUCACAUUCACUGCCAAUGGCUGGGUGCAAUCUUAUGGAUCAAGGUGUGUCAAGCCACCGAUUAUCUACGGUGAUGUGAGCCGCCCCAACCCCAUGACUGUGUUCUGGUCCAAGAUGGCACAGAGCAUGACUGCUCGCCCAAUGAAGGGAAUGUUGACAGGCCCUGUCACAAUCCUUAACUGGUCUUUUGUUAGAAAUGACCAACCGAGGUUUGAGACUUGCUACCAGAUUGCUCUUGCAAUCAAGAAGGAGGUCGAGGACCUUGAGGCUGGUGGUAUUCAGGUCAUCCAAAUUGACGAGGCUGCUUUGAGAGAGGGUCUGCCACUCCGCAAGUCUGAGCAUGCUUUCUACUUGGACUGGGCCGUGCACUCCUUCAGGAUCACCAACUGCGGUGUGCAGGACACCACCCAGAUCCACACCCACAUGUGCUACUCCAACUUCAACGACAUCAUCCAGUCCAUCAUCAACAUGGACGCUGAUGUGAUCACCAUCGAGAACUCGCGGUCCGACGAGAAGCUUCUGUCCGUCUUCCGCGAGGGUGUGGUGUACGGUGCUGGCAUUGGCCCGGGUGUGUACGACAUCCACUCCCCCAGGAUCCCGUCCAAGGAGGAGAUUGCCGACCGUGUCAACAAGAUGCUCGCGGUCCUGGACACCAACAUCCUGUGGGUGAACCCUGACUGCGGUCUCAAGACCCGCAAGUACGCCGAGGUCAAGCCUGCCCUCACCAACAUGGUUGAGGCCGCCAAGCAGAUCCGUGCCGAGCUCGCCAAGGCGCAGUAA
RNAcentral lists this ribosomal RNA (2424 nucleotides) under Triticum aestivum (bread wheat). Its description in RNAcentral is "partial small subunit ribosomal RNA". The record is from RNAcentral. Lineage: Eukaryota; Viridiplantae; Streptophyta; Magnoliopsida; Poales; Poaceae.